RNAcentral lists this long non-coding RNA (2248 nucleotides) under Gadus morhua (Atlantic cod). RNAcentral's name for it is "lncRNA (ENSGMOG00000024850.1)". Lineage: Eukaryota; Metazoa; Chordata; Actinopteri; Gadiformes; Gadidae. The record is from RNAcentral.
CAAGAUCAUAUUUUUAAAUGAGCGGGUCGGGUGCAUUAUUUUUAUAUAAGGCCUAAUAUUUGAGGCCUGAGUUGCGGUCAUUUAUGUACCCGCGCACCUAUGCUACAGAGAGAUCGCUACCGCGAUUUAGAAAAGUACUAGACCCCUCCUACUUCCGUGAUUUAGAAAAGUACAGGACACGCCUCCAACUACAAGUUACGCCUACUACAAGUCACGCCUCCGUCUUGCAGGAAGCAGACGGAUACUAUUGGAGUAAGAACAUGGUUGCCCAAAUAGCACACCUGUAUUUGAUGUGGAUGAUUAUGUUGCAAAGGCUAGGAGCUGCAAAUGCUUGUGUUGAGUGGCUACAGGGCCACAAUAUAAAGAGAUAGCAGUGGAUCAGUGCAACAGUGCUUUAGGUCUGGUUUGGCCUCAACAAAUCUGUCUGGGAAAUACUUUGAAUCUAGUGUGCCAUGGCUGUUGGGUGCAUUCUCAGAGUGUCUUGGUUUUCUUGGUUGCUGUUUGGUGGCAGUCUUCCUUUUCCAUCAUUGAAGGGUUAUAGCUAUACCUCCAAGAAUGACCAUCCUGAAAUUGGGGGUGAUAAAGAUGACGAGCUACAAACUUCUCAUACUCUAAGGUUUGAUGCAUAUAGCCUAGAAAAAGGCUAUUCAGACCGAAGCAAAAACGUCCCACUAGCUGCAGCUCCAAAGCAGGCACCGUUGAACCCCGAGGAAGGGGCGAGGAUCCAGGGAGGAGGAGCUGUGGAGUUUGGACAGAAAAAUGCUGAGAUGGAAGACCAGAAACUUGUCAAGCCAGUGACAUUCCCUCUAAACCCUCCCAACCAGCAUGAUCACUCUUUUGAGGAGCAGUGGGGCAGCACGAAGCCUCACUUCCCACCCUCUGACACUAAAGGGGCUUACUCUUCAUUGCACCUUGACCUCCCAGCUGGUGUACAAGAAGGUUCACAAAGCUAUUCCACUAACCUUGUCGAUGAGGCUGUUUAUCAAUACCCAGCUGCUGAAACUGCACAGCUUCCUUCACCAGAUGAUGACCCCUACACCUAUGACUCUGUGGUUGCGGAACAGCCAAGCAGUUGGUCCUCUGAUCGUUACAUUACCACAGAAGAGCCGGUAUUCUCCAGUAAUGCAGGUGACUGGGCCCACGCCGCUCCGAACAUUGGUGAACAUAUUCUGGAGGCUGAAGCAGUACCUAGUACUGACACUAAAGGGGGUUACUCUAGCUCUUCACUGCACCUUGACCUCCCAGCUGGUGUACAAGAGGGUUCACAAAGCUAUUCCACUAACCUUGUUGAUGAGGCUGUUUAUCAAUACCCUGCUGCUGAAACUGCACAGCUUCCUUCAGAAGAGAGUGACCUCUCCGACUACAACUCUGUGAAUGUGGUCCAGCCCAGCACUUGGUCUUCUGCUCCUUACAUGACUAGAGAAGAGGAGCCGGUUUACGUCAGUAAUUCAGGUGACUGGGCCCAAGCAGCGCAGACCAUUAGCGAACAGCCUCUGGAGGCGGAAGCAGUACCUAGUACUGACACUAAAGGGGAUUACUCUAGCUCUUCACUGAACCUCAACUUCCAAGCUGGUGUACAAGAAGGUUCACAAAGCUAUUCCACUAACCUUGUCGAUGAGGCUGUUUAUCAAUACCCUGCUGCUGAAGCUGAACAGCUUCAUUCAGAGGGGGUUGACGCCUCCAAGUAUGACUCUAUGAACGCAGUCCAGCCAAGCACUUGGUCCUCGGCUUCCUACUUGACCAGAGAAGAGGAGCCGGCAUUCUCCAGUCAUACAGGUCACUGGGCCCAUGUUGCUCCUGUGGAAACCCCUGCCUAUCCAAGCUAUGUGACUGACUACGGCUUGGACUCGACUUCAAGUAAAGCCGCUGCACAACCAGUCCUCUUCAAGCCACUGAAGAAGGCUCCUCAGCUCCCCAGCUCCAAGUGGCUUCAGAGGCCAAAGAAGGUGAGGGACCAGACUGCAUCUACCUACAUUGUCCAAUCCAAGGGCUCACACCGCCGAAGCCGCCAGAUGUUAUCCAAGAAGAAGUACUUCAGCGGUUUCCCUCCACCACCCCCAUCCGUGCUUAUGGCUCUGAGACCGUAAGGGGUAAAUGGUGACCACUUGGCCUUCAAUCAAUUGUGUAUUUUUCCCACUUGCUUAUGGAUUUCUACACUGACUAUACCUUCAGUAAUGCUUCGCACUUUCAGCAUAAAAGCUUGUUCCCUGAAAAGAAUAAACAAAAUGUAACCAUUUAAACUUGACUU